ACAUGCCUACAACAUAAAGUUAAUGAACCAAAACCCAUUAGAACUUUGUAGUUAAGCGCACUCGGGAUAGAGUAGUAUUGUGAUGGAUGACUUCCCAGGAAGUCCUAGUGUUUUACAUGCC
Molecule: non-coding RNA, 121 nt
Organism: Picea glauca (white spruce)
Lineage: Eukaryota; Viridiplantae; Streptophyta; Pinopsida; Pinales; Pinaceae
Source: Rfam